UAGGGAAUAUUGCACAAUGGGCGAAAGCCUGAUGCAGCAACGCCGCGUGCGCGAUGACGACCUUCGGGUUGUAAAGCGCUUUUCGGGGAGAUGAGGAAGGACAGUAUCCCCGGAAUAAGCCUCGGCUAACUACGUGCAAGCAGCCGCGGUAAAACGUAGGAGCCAAGCGUUAUCCGAAUUCACUGGGCGUAAAGCGCGUGUAGGCGGCUUGGUAAGUUGGAUGUGAAAGCUCCUGGCUCAACUGGGAGAGGACGUUCAAUACUGCCGGGCUAGAGGGCGACAGAGGGAGGUGGAAUUCCCGGUGUAGUGGUGAAAUGCGUAGAUAUCGGGAGGAACACCAGUGGCGAAAGCGGCCUCCUGGGUCGCACCUGACGCUCAGACGCGAAAGCUAGGGGAGCGAACGG
This 404-nucleotide ribosomal RNA is filed under the name uncultured bacterium. Its description in RNAcentral is "bacterial SSU rRNA". It matches the Rfam family "Bacterial small subunit ribosomal RNA", at positions 355 to 775 of the family's 1533-position model. The record is from RNAcentral.